Small nucleolar RNA from Tachyglossus aculeatus (Australian echidna), 138 nucleotides. The record is from RefSeq and is a predicted model, not a curated record. Lineage: Eukaryota; Metazoa; Chordata; Mammalia; Monotremata; Tachyglossidae.
CCCCUCUCAGGAUCGCACCUGGAGAGUUUCCAGUACUCUACCAGUCCCGGAUAUGGGAGGUAGAGUCACGAAGAGGCAUACCCAUUUUAUUCCCAGUUUGGGAAGUGGCUAGGGAGUGGAAGGCAAUCUGCUACAAGU